UGAGUUUGUUAUACGGUCGCGGGAUCUUUUAGAUCAUGAGGAAAGUCCGAGCAGCAUAGGACAGGGUGCCUGAUAACGUCAGGCAAGGGUGACCUUCGGGAUAGUGCAACAGAAAUAAACCGCCGUAUUUUUACGGUAAGGAUGGAAAGGCGAGGUAAGAGCUCACCGAUAUCGUGGUAACACGAUAUGCCAUGUAAACCCCACUCGCUGCAAGAUUGGGCUUCCGUCAAUAGGGCUGUCCGUCCGACGGAAGCUGUGAAUAUCGCUUGAACUUAUCGGUGACGGUAAGGCUAGAUAAAUGACCGUACACGACAGAACUCGGCUUACAGACAGACUCAAAUC
This 342-nucleotide RNase P RNA is filed under the name Clostridia bacterium. RNAcentral describes it as "RNase P RNA component class A". It matches the Rfam family "Bacterial RNase P class A". Rfam says of the family: Ribonuclease P (RNase P) is a ubiquitous endoribonuclease, found in archaea, bacteria and eukarya as well as chloroplasts and mitochondria. Its best characterised activity is the generation of mature 5'-ends of tRNAs by cleaving the 5'-leader elements of precursor-tRNAs. Cellular RNase Ps are ribonucleoproteins. Lineage: Bacteria; Bacillati; Bacillota; Clostridia. The record is from RNAcentral.